UGUGGUGCCCUGGCUGGUCUCAAACUCCUGGCCCCAAGUGAUCCUCCUGUCUCGGCUUCCCAAAGUGCUGGGAUUAUGAUGUGAGUCACCAUGCCCAACCCUCAUUUUCUUUUAUAUAAAAUUUAGAAGCAGUUCGUCAACUUCCAGAAAAGUUUGUGUUGGAAUUUUGAUUAAAAAAUGUAUUUUCUGUUUUGCAGUGGGCAGAUGUAUGCAAACCUAUCCUAAAGUUCAAGGAAGCUGAGAGGCCGAAGAAAGAGGCUGACAAAUCUAGUUUCUCAGAAAGAAACCUUUAACAGGGAUUUAGGAACAGAAGCCAUGUCUGGGUCUCAGACAGGGCAGGAUGAGAUGAUGCCAUUUGGAGUAGCUACUUUGAGGACAAGAGACAAAAAGCCUGAGGAGAAAGUCACCAUGAAGGAAACAGAAAGAUUAAACAGCAUGCGUGAUCUUUGAUUCAGAGUCCCCAUCUCACCCUGGACUGCCUUCCUUUGGAAUUCCCUUGUGGAAAAAAAAAUUAAACUCUUAUUUGGUUAAAUAAUUGUGACAUCUGAGCUGAGACUUGAAUGAAGAAAAGCUGUCCAUGUAAAGAUCUGGGAGCAGAAGGAUCCAGGCAGAGGAAAUGGAAAGUACAAGGGGCUGGAUGAGAGAACAAGCUUGGCUUGUUCGCAAAACAGAGAGACCCGUGUCUUCAUCAUGGAGCACCUCUUCUCCUCUCUCCUUACCUGUUCUGGAGGCCAGAAGCCUGACAUCAGUUUCACAGAGUCAAAAUCAAGGUGUUGGCAGGAUACUCUACAGUCCCUCUGGAGACUUUAGGUUGGAAAUAUUUUUGCAAUACCACUGAAUCCUCCAGUUUUUACCCCUUACGAUGGGAAGUGAAUACAGUAUGAAAAGGGAGUGGGACAUAUGAGAGGAACGACAGGCUCAAAAUAUGAAGACUUAAUCCAGACACCUCUGUGUCUCUGAACUUGCGUUGUUUCUUCUUUGGAGGUGAAGUACACAUCGUUUUACUCCGGGCAGAGGACUUGUGCUCCUUUUGAGAACUUUCAGCUCUGUAGUGUCGAGUCUUCUGGUUUCCAGAUCCACAUCCUGCCCUGGGGGAAUUGACAUCCAUCAGAUAUUUACUGAGUAACUCCUAUGUGCCAGGUCCCACUUUUGUGGCUAUUGCAAUUUUGGCAGAAAGCAGAUAUUGAACAAUGUCUUUGUGUGCAUGAGUGGGUUUGUGGGAGGUGAAGAGCAGAGGGAGAAAAAGAGAGAGAAGAGGAGGGUGAGAGAGAGGAACAGAAGACCUGGCUGUACUCCUGAAUAACACUGACUUCUUCUAGGAAAGCACUCUGAAGCCAAGUUGAAACAUUAUACUCUCAGGCAGUAGUAGAGAUCAACCUCUUAAAACCAAAUCCAUGGGCCCAGGAGUAUGGAAAAGAGUUCAAUAAAAUGGCCUUAACUGGUAUAAGAAGUUACAAUUGUUAAAAGGAGAUUCAGCUGUGAUAGCAAAAGAGAAAGAAAAUGAAAAAGUUGUCCUGGCUCAUCUCUGGAAAGACAUGAUAUUUCAUAACCUCAAGGUGUUUGCUUCUGACCUAUAACUUCAAUUAUAGACCAGGUUAUCCAAAAGUUCUCCUUAUUAACAAGGUAUCUGUUUUUACCAGGUGUCUGUUAUUAAUUAGUUAGUAUAUAAUUUAAUGCAAUUAACCAAAGCACCUCUUAUGCCUAGAACAUAGCAGGUGGUUUACUUCUUUCUUAUGACAUAUUCAAGACUCAUGGUUUUCCCAUUUUUAGAGUCAAAAACAUAAAUUCCUCCUUUUGCUUUCCUGCGCUAACAUAUCCACCUCACACACCUGUUUACUCUUUGUUUGCAGGGAAAUGUGUACAUCUGCUAGGGCGUGAUCUCGAUGAUGAGGUGACAUAUGGGAUGUCAUUCCAUUAUUUAAAGAACAAAUUCCAAAGAUCAAACUUUUCUCCCCACACUUGUGAGUGAUACAUGGGUCUUCUCAGGGACAUUAAAAUGGAGCUAGUCUCACUGAUUUCAUGGACAUUUAGCAUACAAUUAUUGAGUUACCUGCUGAAAUCUCUUCAUACAUAUCUGGUUUCACCCUAGGUUAUGAAUAUCCAUGCAGACUAUUUUUCCAAGCUUCUACGCAACUAACCUUGGCACUUACCCCCAGCUCAGGCAGCAAGCAAAUUAUUCUGGCUUGAUGUCCAUCUGAUGGUUUACUCUUGCUACCUCCUACUCCCUACUAUAACCACAAAUGACCUCCUCCCCACUUGCUCUCAUUCUUACCAGAAGUUUUCAGUUAACAGCUCACUACUAAGCCAGUUUCCUUCUUAAAGUAUAUAUAUCCUUUUAAAAUUUCCAGUCUUGUUACUCUCUCUCUUCCUCUUCAAUUUCUUGUCCUGUUGUCACAAGAUCUCUUCUUAGCUCACCAAAUUAUCUUCUCUUCCCUUUCUCUUUUAUUCCAUUUAUGAACAAGACACCAACUUCUACCACAACAACAGAACAAAACAACCCCUAGCUUCAAAGAGAACAAAAAAACCCCAAAAUAAAUUAAAAAUGGCUUUAAUGCUUAGAGUUGCAGGGACAAGAAAAACCACAUUCUUUUAAAAUGAAAUUAGAUGUCAUAAAGGACUAUGAACUAGUAAGAGUUCCCCGAAGUCCCCUUCCGAAUCUCACAAAAGACUCCAUCUCCUUCUUCAUCUGGCUUUUUGUUAAUAACCAAUGUCCAAUAUAAAUAGAAACAUUGCUUUGUUUUGAUUGUAUUGCUCUUUCAUUUGUGCAAAUGGUAGUAUUUCUAUUGUAUCAAUGAUAAACUUUUUCAGGCAAGCCUGAGAUGGCAGAUUACAACAUUAUUUCUAUGGGAACACCCAUUCCUAAUUGGAAACAAUCAGAUUACCAACAGAGAGUUCAUAAACUGAGAGCUGCCUGCAAUGAGAACUGAUUUACACUCUGGUUUCUAAUUUAGAAACAAUUUCACUGUGCUAGUUUCUCCUUUUGCACAAAGAUUUAGGAUGGUGCAGUAGGGUAAGGAAAAAUGGCUUCCCUUCAGUCUGCUAGGUUCUUUGGCUGGGCUACAAAUUAAAUUGCCAUAAAACAGAUUAAUAGGAGAAAACCAUAUUUAAUAACAUGUAUGCAUGGGAGUCCCAUAAAAUAUGGGAUUGGAAGAAGGAUCAGAUGAUUAUAUAGCAUCCUGAGGUACAGAAAGGAGUAGGGGCUUGGCACUUCCAGGGGAUGGUGGCAACACAAGCAAUGGGAGGAUAAGGGGAGACAAUGUAUGGUGAAUAAAUGGUUGUCUUACGCAGACAUAAGGUCUCUCACGUAAUACAAGUUAUCUGGGAGCAGCCCUCAGAAAAAUAGGUGUUAAUCUGUGGGGUCAUGGUGUCCACCUCCAAUCUCCUCUCCUGUGAUCGAAGUUAAUCUUCCUUGGUUGAUAAGAUUCCCAGGGAGGGGAUUCAUGACAAUUUAGUUCCUUUUGGGGGCUGUCUUUAGGAAGACUAAAGGGAGCUCAGAGGAAGCCUCUGCCGGCAUCCACUGUUCCCCAAGUGUCCUCAAUUAUCAGUCUGAUACGUGGUAAGUAAGUGGUUUCUAGGUAUUUAAUAUGCCUUUUCCUGAUAACUAAUUUGCCAGAUAGAUUUUCCAAAAAUGGUUGCAACAAUAUCUCCCAUCCCUGAUUCUCUUCUUAAAUAUGACUUUGACAACUUUUCUAUCAAGAGGUAGGGUCUAUAUCCCCUUCCCUUGAAACUAAGAGGGUCUGUGGUUAAGGCAGAACUGACACUCAGUGACUUUUGAGCUAAGUCAUAAAAGAUGAUACAACUUAUGGCUGGUUCUGACUCAAUCUUGGAACCCAGCCAUCAUGUUGUGAAGAAUCUCAGGACAUUUACAGAGGCUUCAUAGGUUUCUGGCAGACAGCUCCAGCUUACAACAGCAUCAACCAACAGACUUGUGAGUGAAGAUGGCUCCUGAAGGUAUCAGCCCCCCGCUGUCCAGUCACCUCCCAGCUUUUGAGUCUUUCCAGCCGAGACCCCAGACACCAAGGCACAGAGACAAACGUCUGCAUUGUAACCUGUCCAAAAUUCUGACCCACAGAGUUCUUGGCAUAAUAUAAUGAUUGUUUUAUGUCACUAAAGUUUGGAGUGGCUUGUCACAUUGCAAUAAAAAAUUGCAACAACGAAGGAGGUUGAUUAUCUUUUCAUGCUUAUUGAUCAUUUGCAUUUCUUCUGUGUACUGUCUAUUCACAAAUUUUGCCUGUUUGACUCUUGGGUUAUUUGUCUUGCUCAUAUUUUCUGCAUAUUAAUCCUACUUUUGUUACCUAUAUUGCAAAUGUAUUCAACCAGUUGCUUGCUAGGUAAUAGAGAAAUUUGAGUUUUAUGUAUCCGUUCAUUGUUUUCAUUUUUUAGUCUUGGGGUUUUGUAUCUUUUUUUUUUUUUUUUUUUUUUUUUUUGAGACGACGGAGUCUCUCUCUGUCACCCAGGCUGGAGUGCAGUGGCGUGAUCUCCGCUCACUGCAAGCUCUGCCUCCCGGGUUCAUGCUGUUUUCCUGCCUCAGCCUCCCAAAUAGCUGGGACCACAGGCGCCCGCCACCAUGCCCAGCUAAUUUUUUUUUUUUUUGUAUUUUUUAGUAGAGACGGGGUUUCACUGUGUUAGCCAGGAUGGUCUCGAUCUCCUGACCUCGUGAUCCGCCAGCCUCGGCCUCCCGAAGUGCUGGGAUUACAGGCGUGAGCCACUGUGCCCGGCCGGUUUUGUGUCUUUUUUAGAAAAAGGCUUUCCCAUUUGAAGAAUAUAAAAAUAUCCUAUACUUUCUUCUAGCACUUUUAUACCUUUUCUUAUUCAUCAUAAGAUCAGUCUCUGACUCUAUCUUGAAUUUAUUAUUUUACAUGGUAUGGGACAGUGAAAAUCUAACUCUUUUUAGAUGGAUAGUCAGUUGUCUCUGUACCAUUUAUUUAAAUCAUCCAUUCUUUUUCCAUUGAUUUGAAAUGCCUCCUUUAUGAACUAAAUUCUUAAAUAAAUAUAUGUCUAUUUCUAGACUGUCUAUUCUGAACCAUUAAACUGUUUGAUCAUUACUACAAAAGUGCCAUUUUAUUUUAAUUUAUAUAGCUUUUUGAUAUGUUCUGAUAUCCAGUAGAACGCAUAGUAUAGUCUAAUUUUUCUUCCCCCAGAAAUAUCUUUGCAGAUUUUAAGAAUUUCGUCUUUCAGAUAAAUUUCAGAAUAAACUCGCCAAGUGCCUUGCUUGGCACUUAAGUCACAGCCUUGCUUUGACUUAAUAAAUUAAUGUGUAGCAAACUGACAUAUUUAUUAUGUCUUCUUGUAUAUUAACAUGGUAUAUUUCCCCAU
RNAcentral lists this long non-coding RNA (5316 nucleotides) under Homo sapiens (human). RNAcentral describes it as "HSALNT0165946". The record is from RNAcentral. Lineage: Eukaryota; Metazoa; Chordata; Mammalia; Primates; Hominidae.